Molecule: transfer RNA, 72 nt
Filed under: Camelus bactrianus (Bactrian camel)
Lineage: Eukaryota; Metazoa; Chordata; Mammalia; Artiodactyla; Camelidae
Also listed under: 2 other names
Rfam family: tRNA
About the family: Transfer RNA (tRNA) molecules are approximately 80 nucleotides in length. Their secondary structure includes four short double-helical elements and three loops (D, anti-codon, and T loops).
Source: Rfam by way of RNAcentral
GAGGGUAUAGCUCAGUGGUAGAGCGUGUGCCCAGCAUGCACAAGGUUCUGGGUUCAGUCCCCAGUACCUCCA